Molecule: ribosomal RNA, 426 nt
Filed under: uncultured bacterium
Lineage: Bacteria
Description: partial 16S ribosomal RNA
Rfam family: Bacterial small subunit ribosomal RNA
Source: RNAcentral
UGGGGAAUAUUGCACAAUGGGCGCAAGCCUGAUGCAGCCAUGCCGCGUGUAUGAAGAAGGCCUUCGGGUUGUAAAGUACUUUCAGCGGGGAGGAAGGCGAUGCGGUUAAUAACCGCGUCGAUUGACGUUACCCGCAGAAGAAGCACCGGCUAACUCCGUGCCAGCAGCCGCGGUAAUACGGAGGGUGCAAGCGUUAAUCGGAAUUACUGGGCGUAAAGCGCACGCAGGCGGUCUGUCAAGUCGGAUGUGAAAUCCCCGGGCUCAACCUGGGAACUGCAUCCGAAACUGGCAGGCUUGAGUCUCGUAGAGGGGGGUAGAAUUCCAGGUGUAGCGGUGAAAUGCGUAGAGAUCUGGAGGAAUACCGGUGGCGAAGGCGGCCCCCUGACGAAGACUGACGCUCAGGUGCGAAAGCGUGGGGAGCAAACA